UCCGGUUCAUCACCGGCAGUCUCCACAGAGUCCCCGCCUUUACGCGCUGGCAACUGUGAACAAGGGUUGCGCUCGUUACGGGACUUAACCCAACAUCUCACAACACGAGCUGACGACAGCCAUGCAGCACCUGUCUCAUGGUUCCUUGCGGCACUCCCGCAUCUCUGCAGGAUUCCAUGGAUGUCAAGGGUAGGUAAGGUUCUUCGCGUUGCAUCGAAUUAAACCACAUGCUCCACCGCUUGUGCGGGCCCCCGUCAAUUCCUUUGAGUUUUAACCUUGCGGCCGUACUCCCCAGGCGGAGAACUUAUCGCGUUAGCUUCGAUACUAAUGGGCUAGGCCCACCAACAUCUAGUUCUCAUCGUUUACAGCGUGGACUAC
This 378-nucleotide unclassified non-coding RNA is filed under the name uncultured Gammaproteobacteria bacterium. Its description in RNAcentral is "contains 16S-23S intergenic spacer region". The record is from RNAcentral. Lineage: Bacteria; Pseudomonadati; Pseudomonadota; Gammaproteobacteria.